GAGGAAGGAGCGCGGUGGGGAGUUGGGAGCGCGGGGCUCCCCCGGGACCCCCCGCAGCUCCGACGGGGUUUCAGUUGACUCGGACUGCACCGCAGCGAGAGUCCGUUAGGAGUCUCCGCCUGGGCGCGCAGCUGGCCGACCAUCCCGGCCCGCCUCCCCCUCGCUCCCACCAGGAAGGGCAGCCGGGCGAGAGCCAGUGACCUCUCCUCCCGCCAGCCCAGAACGAACAAUCACCAGUCCAGCGAAAAUCAGAGCACAUUACAGAAAGAAAGAAGAAAAGAAGCUGGGCAGAGAAAAGAUUCCCUACAACAGAGAGUCACCUAGACAUGAAAGAAAUUCUGCUUCUACAACAAUUGACAAAAAGUAGACAGAUUCAUGUUUGACCACACUGGAUACUGGAUCAAGAUGCUGGAGAUAGACCUGAGAUUAAAGAACAAAGAAAUCUUAUCCACUAAACAGUAUUGAUUAGAACCAAAAUAUUUUGUCAUUGGAGGCCUUAUGUUACCCUUAAAAAUAAACUUUCGGAUAUUUUG
Molecule: long non-coding RNA, 533 nt
Filed under: Heterocephalus glaber (naked mole-rat)
Lineage: Eukaryota; Metazoa; Chordata; Mammalia; Rodentia; Bathyergidae
Description: lncRNA (ENSHGLG00100040046.1)
Source: RNAcentral